RNAcentral lists this ribosomal RNA (498 nucleotides) under Trapelus ruderatus (Baluch ground agama). RNAcentral's name for it is "partial large subunit ribosomal RNA". It matches the Rfam family "Bacterial large subunit ribosomal RNA", at positions 1817 to 2597 of the family's 2925-position model. Lineage: Eukaryota; Metazoa; Chordata; Lepidosauria; Squamata; Agamidae. The record is from RNAcentral.
AGCCAUUAGCCAAACAAGUAUUAAAGGUAAUGCCUGCCCAGUGAAAAUUUAUUUAAACGGCCGCGAUAACCCGUGCGAAGGUAGCGCAAUCACUUGUCUUCUAAAUAAAGACCUGUAUGAAUGGCCACAUGAGAAAGAAACUGUCUCUUGAAGAUAGCCAAUGAAACUGAUCUAUCUGUACAAAAGCAGAUAUACCAAAACAAGACAAAAAGACCCUGUGAAACUUCAAAUUAUACGCCAAACACAUGGCAUUAAUUUUUAGUUGGGGCAACUGUAGAGAAACAAAACCUCUAUAACCACACAAGACCAACCAGUCAAAUUGAACAAGUACAAAGACCCAGUACUACUGAUCAAUGAACCAAGCUACUCCAGGGAUAACAGCGCUAAAUUCUUGAAGAGUUCAUAUCAACAAGAGUAUUUACGACCUCGAUGUUGGAUCAGGAUGCCCAAACAGUGCAGAAGCUGUUAAAGGUUCGUUUGUUCAACGACUAAUAUCCU